UACGUAGGGGGCAAGCGUUGUCCGGAUUUAUUGGGUUUAAAGGGUGCGUAGGCGGCUUUGUAAGUCAGUGGUGAAAUAUGGCAGCUCAACUGUCAGGGUGCCAUUGAUACUGCGGAGCUUGAGUACAGAUGAGGUAGGCGGAAUUGACGGUGUAGCGGUGAAAUGCUUAGAUAUCGUCAAGAACACCGAUAGCGAAGGCAGCUUACUAGGCUGUAACUGACGCUGAGGCACGAAAGUGUGGGGAUCAAACAGG
Molecule: ribosomal RNA, 253 nt
Filed under: uncultured bacterium
Lineage: Bacteria
Description: partial 16S ribosomal RNA
Rfam family: Bacterial small subunit ribosomal RNA
Source: RNAcentral